CCUCGUCGAUCUGCUGCGGGCAGAUCCAGUGGAUGUGGCUGUCGAUGCCGCCGGCGGUGAGGAUCAUGCCUUCGCCGGCGAUGACCUCCGUGCCGGCGCCGACCGGAAUGGUGACGCCCGGCUGGAUGUCCGGGUUGCCGCCCUUGCCGAUCUUCCAGAUGCGGCCGUCCUUGAGGCCGACGUCGGCCUUCACGAUGCCGGCCACCGCGUCGACGAUCAGCGCGUUGGUGAUGAUCGUGUCGGCAAUCUCGGCGGCGAGCUGCUGGCCCUGGCCCAUGCCGUCGCGGAUG
Molecule: small RNA, 290 nt
Organism: Azoarcus sp.
Lineage: Bacteria; Pseudomonadati; Pseudomonadota; Betaproteobacteria; Rhodocyclales; Zoogloeaceae
Rfam family: 5' ureB small RNA
Source: Rfam